Molecule: long non-coding RNA, 625 nt
Filed under: Elaeis guineensis (African oil palm)
Lineage: Eukaryota; Viridiplantae; Streptophyta; Magnoliopsida; Arecales; Arecaceae
Description: long non-coding RNA (EGUI_LNC036926)
Source: RNAcentral
CACCUUGGUUGAGAAUGGUGGCACAUAAUAUAGUAUAAAAUUAUUGUAGGAUGAAAAUACUCUUCGUAUUAGCCGAUCUCCUUUCCAUUUCCUUAUUCAUCCUUUUUUUGUCCUCCUAACUUUCAAAAUUUUCACUAUUGCAUCCGAAGAAGAAAUCCCUAUUAGAUCACCUAAUCCCAAAUCCAUCUUGCAGGACCAAAAGGAUGGAUCAUUAACCCAUGCAAUAUUCAUGAGGGAGAAGAUCCCCUCUCCAUUUUUCUUCAAAAAGGUGGAGGAGCACAUGGAAACCGGGUUCCUCUAUCCAUUGUUCUUCUUCAAUGCAUUUGUUAGAUCUAACAAGGUUGCAACAAUGGCAGUAAGGAACAACCACCAACUAUUGAUGGGCUUUUUGAUGAUCCUAGCCGAUUUCUAGGCCCCUCUCACCAACAGCAGCUAAAGUGGCUUGGACUAAUUUAUUGUGGAUUUGCAUCCACUCCUUCCCUCUCCCAUGCAACCUAAGAUACUAUAUUCCAAUCUAGAUCUCAAACUCCUCCCACCUUUAGAAGUUAUGUAUCUGGAUGUCCACUAGCGACAGCUCAUGAUCUUUUCCUUUGCUUUUAGUUUUCUUAGAUAGCAAAUGCAAGAG